ACGGGUGAGUAAUGCAUCGGAACGUGCCCAGUAGCGGGGGAUAACGCAGCGAAAGCUGUGCUAAUACCGCAUAUUCUCUACGGAGGAAAGAGGGGGAUCGCAAGACCUCUCACUAUUGGAGCGGCCGAUGUCUGAUUAGCUAGUUGGCGGGGUAAAAGCCCACCAAGGCGACGAUCAGUAGCUGGUUUGAGAGAACGACCAGCCACACUGGGACUGAGACACGGCCCAGACUCCUACGGGAGGCAGCAGUGGGGAAUUUUGGACAAUGGGCGCAAGCCUGAUCCAGCCAUGCCGCGUGCGGGAAGAAGGCCUUCGGGUUGUAAACCGCUUUUGUCAGGGAAGAAAUCGAAUCCACUAAUACUGGGUUUGGAUGACGGUACCUGGAGAAUAAGCACCGGCUAACUACGUGCCAGCAGCCGCGGUAAUACGUAGGGUGCGAGCGUUAAUCGGAAUUACUGGGCGUAAAGCGUGCGCAGGCGGUUUCGCAAGUCAGAUGUGAAAGCCCCGGGCUCAACCUGGGAAUUGCAUUUGAAACUACGAGGCUAGAGUGUGUCAGAGGGGGGUAGAAUUCCACGUGUAGCAGUGA
This 586-nucleotide ribosomal RNA is filed under the name proteobacterium StRD488. RNAcentral's name for it is "bacterial SSU rRNA". It matches the Rfam family "Bacterial small subunit ribosomal RNA", at positions 102 to 684 of the family's 1533-position model. The record is from RNAcentral. Lineage: Bacteria; Pseudomonadati; Pseudomonadota.